GUUUUAACUAACAAAAAUCCCUAUCAGGGAUUGAAAC
Molecule: non-coding RNA, 37 nt
Organism: Nostoc sp.
Lineage: Bacteria; Bacillati; Cyanobacteriota; Cyanophyceae; Nostocales; Nostocaceae
Source: Rfam